UGGGGAAUUGUUCACAAUGGGCGCAAGCCUGAUGACGCAACGCCGCGUGGGGGAUGAAGGUCUUCGGAUUGUAAACCCCUGUCGAACGGGACGAAAGACUCGCGAGCUAAUCAUCGCGAGAGUGACGGUACCGUUAAAGGAAGCCACGGCUAACUCUGUGCCAGCAGCCGCGGUAAUACGGAGGGUGCAAGCGUUAUCCGGAUUCACUGGGUUUAAAGGGUGCGUAGGAGGAUAGGUAAGUCAGUGGUGAAAUCUCCGGGCUUAACUCGGAAACUGCCGUUGAUACUAUCUAUCUUGAAUCCCGUGGAGGUGAGCGGAAUAUGUCAUGUAGCGGUGAAAUGCUUAGAUAUGACAUAGAACACCAAUUGCGAAGGCAGCUCACUACGCGAAGAUUGACUCUGAGGCACGAAAGCGUGGGGAUCAAA
This 425-nucleotide ribosomal RNA is filed under the name uncultured bacterium. RNAcentral describes it as "bacterial SSU rRNA". It matches the Rfam family "Bacterial small subunit ribosomal RNA", at positions 355 to 772 of the family's 1533-position model. The record is from RNAcentral.